RNAcentral lists this ribosomal RNA (484 nucleotides) under uncultured bacterium. RNAcentral's name for it is "partial 16S ribosomal RNA". It matches the Rfam family "Bacterial small subunit ribosomal RNA", at positions 29 to 507 of the family's 1533-position model. The record is from RNAcentral.
AUUGAACGCUGGCGGCAUGCUUUACACAUGCAAGUCGAACGGCAGCGCGGGCUUCGGCCUGGCGGCGAGUGGCGAACGGGUGAGUAAUACAUCGGAACGUGCCCAGUAGUGGGGGAUAGCUCGGCGAAAGCCGGAUUAAUACCGCAUACGACCUGAGGGUGAAGGCGGGGGAUCUUCGGACCUCGCGCUAUUGGAGCGGCCGAUGGCAGAUUAGCUAGUUGGUGGGGUAAAGGCCUACCAAGGCGACGAUCUGUAGCUGGUCUGAGAGGACGACCAGCCACACUGGGACUGAGACACGGCCCAGACUCCUACGGGAGGCAGCAGUGGGGAAUUUUGGACAAUGGGCGAAAGCCGGAUCCAGCAAUGCCGCGUGUGUGAUGAAGGCCUUCGGGUUGUAAAGCACUUUUGGCGGGAACGAAAAGGACUGUGCCAAUACCACGGUUCGAUGACGGUACCCGCAGAAUAAGCACCGGCUAACUACGUG